RNAcentral lists this ribosomal RNA (570 nucleotides) under Soehngenia saccharolytica. RNAcentral's name for it is "partial 23S ribosomal RNA". It matches the Rfam family "Bacterial large subunit ribosomal RNA", at positions 1420 to 1962 of the family's 2925-position model. Lineage: Bacteria; Bacillati; Bacillota; Tissierellia; Tissierellales; Tissierellaceae. The record is from RNAcentral.
GGACAACAGGUGAUAAUUCCUGUACUAGUGUCAAGCGCUAUAAGAGAAGUGGGGACGCAGGAGGAUAAGUGAAGCGCACGGAUGGAAAUGUGCGUCCAAGUACGUAGGUAGGUAUUGUAGGCAAAUCCGCAAUACUGAAGAUCUGAGGUACGAUGGGGAUCGAAAAACAAGUAGAGAAGGAGCUGAAUCCACACUGCCAAGAAAAGCCACUAUCAAGCAAGACACUACCCGUACCGCAAACCGACACAGGUAGGCGAGGAGAGAAUCCUAAGACGCGCGGAAGAACCUUUGUUAAGGAACUCGGCAAAAUGGCCCCGUAACUUCGGGAUAAGGGGUGCCAGGGUAAGUGAAAUAUCCACGCGAUAAAGUAGUGAGAACCUGGCCGCAGUGAAAAGGCCCAAGCGACUGUUUACCAAAAACACAGGUCUCUGCUAAGUCGAAAGACGAAGUAUAGGGGCUGACACCUGCCCGGUGCUGGAAGGUUAAGGGGAAAGGUUAGCCGAAAGGCGAAGCUUUGAACUUAAGCCCCAGUAAACGGCGGCCGUAACUAUAACGGUCCUAAGGUAGCGA